Long non-coding RNA from Gasterosteus aculeatus aculeatus (three-spined stickleback), 770 nucleotides. RefSeq lists it as uncharacterized. Lineage: Eukaryota; Metazoa; Chordata; Actinopteri; Perciformes; Gasterosteidae. The record is from RefSeq and is a predicted model, not a curated record.
UAAUCGUGGAGAGGAGUGGAGGAAACAAUAAAUAAACCAGGGCCUAGUGGAGCAUCCUUCCCCUUGGUGGGGGGGGUUGUCCACCUUCACCCAGUUGGCCGCUGCGCAAUGGCUGACUCCUGCUGCGGGGGGGGGCUGAAAGGUCGGCCGGAAGAUGCGAUCUGCGUCAAGGUUACCGGGGAGGAAGGUCCGCACAAAACCGGCUCCUCGCUCCACGCGCGUGUUUAACGUGCAAAGCGCGUCACCGGGACGCCGGCCCGCGCGUUCGGCCGUGAACACGCGUGUAGAAUUUAUUCGCUUUUCGCGUAUGUUUGUUUUGACACCGAAUAGAUGCUGUUGUGACCCGAGAAGCAGCUGUGCUAUUCUGGGUCCGUGGCACAUCGCACCAUAAACGUCCCUGCAGCGAAGCAGCGCGUUUUGCAUCAGGGUCACGUGGUGCGUUAAGCCCCGCCCCAUGAACGAAAGUAACCCGAGAUGGGCCGAUAAAAGGCUGAGCGACAGCAGCGAGGUUGGAAGGCGCAAAAAGACGGUACAGGUGCGUCUGCUGGAUGAGAGCCGCCUCCUCAGAGAGCCACAGCUUGAACGCGAAACGUCGCUAAACUGUUUCUUCACGUCUGAGAGCGCGUAGAGCUUCCACCAGCACGACGCCACCCGCAUCCACCGCCACCAUCCGCGGGUUUAUUCGUCACAAAACUCCUUCACCGCUUAAUGUCUUAAUGUGCCGCUGUCAUGUGACUGACCUGAUUAAAUGAGUCGCCUCUAAUCUGUCA